This 778-nucleotide ribosomal RNA is filed under the name Titanoeca schineri. RNAcentral's name for it is "partial large subunit ribosomal RNA". The stretch from base 504 to 778 matches the Rfam family "Eukaryotic large subunit ribosomal RNA", at positions 665 to 921 of the family's 3401-position model. The record is from RNAcentral. Lineage: Eukaryota; Metazoa; Arthropoda; Arachnida; Araneae; Titanoecidae.
GUGGAACCUCGAAAUCCCGGGGCGAGAGGAUUCAACGUCCGUCGUCGCGGAGCGCCGUCGACGGUCGUGGGCGGACCCCUGUAGUGGGGGCGAGCCUGCGGAGUUCGUCGGUGUCUCGCUCGUCGUCUGGCGUGCAGUUGACUCCCGCCCUGAAAGGGGCCCCGCGACCGGUCGGCGCAAAGAGAGAAGAGGGGCGAGAGGAAGGCGGACACUGUGGCAGGUUCACGGGCCAGGGCUUCCUAGAGUCGCUCAUGUCCGUGGACCGAGCUCGUCCGAAAGCGGCCCCCGCCCGACCGCGGUCCAAAGUUCCCCUCGAGGGAACGCCACGCACUUCUCGUUCCAGCCGCGGGGAGACCCCCUGUACCGUCUCCGCAAGCCUGGGCGUCCGCACUGUUCGCAGUGGGGCGUCUGGGCGGAGGAGCGAAUAGGGGAACCAAGCGCCGAGGACGAGGAGGUCUGCGGGGAGUAGGUCGGUCAUCCACCCGACCCGUCUUGAAACACGGACCAAGGAGUCUAACAUGUGCGCGAGUCGCCGGGACUUGAACAGGCCCGGAGGCGAAGUGAAAGCGAUGAUUUGAAAGCCGUGAUCCCCGGGGUGGAACCCGGGGCGCAGCGGCGGCCCGUCCCGCUCGCCGAGGCGUGCGGGCGGAGUCUGAGCGCACACGUUGGUGCCCGAAAGAUGGUGAACUAUGCACGGCCAGGACGAAGACAGAGGAAACUCUGUUGGAGGUCCGAAGCGGUUCUGACGUGCAAAUCGAUCGUCAGAGCCUUGUAUAGG